GAUGGCAAGAUUUUAAGGCAAAGACGACACCCAGAAAUGUUUUUCCACCCCAGGCAUCCGGUCCCAAUCAUCAUCAGUUCUUAUGUCGCAUACAUGGCGAGUCCACAACGUCUUAAAAUUGUUUCUGUAAGGUGCAGUGAACGGGAAUGUUCUGUCGUUGAUCCUCACUUUCAUGUUUUAUUGUCACACUUAAAUUUUCACGUUCAUGUGUUCACUUUUGAUGUGUAAACUGAUAAUUUAUGUGAAGUUCAUAAAGUUGUGAGUAAAAUUGGACAGUUUUAAAAUGUCUGUAAUAAAAAAUAUUUGAAUUACCUUGGGCAUCUUGUGUAAUUAAUCUUUCUAUGUAAUUUUAGCCUAAAACAGUGUAAGUACUGUAGUGUAGUUAUGCACAUCAUUUACAAAAUAGUUACGUAGGAAUAAAGACGAAUUAAGAGUAAUAAAAAUUGUAGUUUAUUAUCAAUAGCAGGAAAUCAAAAAUAAAAAUUAAGUGUAAUUUAAAUACAUUAUUAAAUUAAUAGUAUAUUUAAAAUAUAU
Poecilia latipinna (sailfin molly) is the source of this 534-nucleotide long non-coding RNA. RefSeq lists it as uncharacterized. The record is from RefSeq and is a predicted model, not a curated record. Lineage: Eukaryota; Metazoa; Chordata; Actinopteri; Cyprinodontiformes; Poeciliidae. The transcript has 3 exons.